CAGAGAGAGAGACAGAGAGAGAGACAGAGAGACACAGAGAGAGACAGAGAGAGAGAGACAGAGAGAGAGAGACAGAGAGAGAGACAGAGAGAGAGACAGAGAGAGAAAUUGGCUAGUUGGCAUUUCCAGUUACUUUCAGAGUGGCAAAGUUUCAAGAGGUAAGGUACUAAAAGGAGAGGAAUGCCAGGCAUGGUGGGGCACACCUUUAACCCCUAUGAGGAGAUAAAGUUAGGCUGAUUUCUGUGACUUCCAGGCUAGCUUGGUGUACACAGUGAGUUCCGGGACAGCCAGGGCUAUGCAGAGACCCUGUCUCAAAAUAAAAUAAAAUAAAAUAAAAUAAAAUAAAUAAAAUAAAAUGAAAUAAGUCUACUGCCAUCUAUCUACCUAUGUAUAUUUCUGUCUUAUAUAUCAUGUGUUCGUCUGUCUGUUAACUGUCUAAUCAUUUAUCCAUUAAACAUUUUGCAAUUUCCAAUGUCCUCUUCAGUGCUUCCUGUCAAUGAACGGACUCGUAACCUAGUAAAGUCCUUUCUGUAAUGACAAGCCUAGGGAAAAGGAGGGAACAAAGUGGCCUCAUGUGGAAAAAAAGAAUCAGAUUCCCUAGCCUGGUGUGCAUGCACCAUGAUAAUUUCAUGAAGAUGUGUGCAGGCCAGCACUGCCUACAGCAGAACCUGUGGCUUGGGAAGGAGCAUUCAUUUGCAGGGAGAAGAAAGAACCACAUUUUAGACUUGGCUCAGUAAGUUAGCAACUGUGUAACUUUGGCGGUGUCCUUUAGUAUAUCCAAGGCCAUGUUUUCUAAUCUGCAAAAUAGGAGAAAUAGUAUCUGCUUCCCCCCAAGAAAUGCAGAUGCAUUUAUGAUACUGCUUGGCAAUAGGAGGCCAAGCCUCAAGUGUUAAUCAGACUCCUCUGAAUCAAUCUGCUACAAAUGUCUCUCCCUGUUACCCG
RNAcentral lists this small RNA (942 nucleotides) under Rattus norvegicus (Norway rat). Its description in RNAcentral is "miRNA precursor pRT11.4". The record is from RNAcentral. Lineage: Eukaryota; Metazoa; Chordata; Mammalia; Rodentia; Muridae.